Molecule: ribosomal RNA, 1024 nt
Filed under: Klebsiella oxytoca
Lineage: Bacteria; Pseudomonadati; Pseudomonadota; Gammaproteobacteria; Enterobacterales; Enterobacteriaceae
Description: bacterial SSU rRNA
Rfam family: Bacterial small subunit ribosomal RNA
Source: RNAcentral
UGACCACGCUGGCGGCAGGCCUAACAUUCAUGCAAGUCGAACGGUAGCACAGAGAGCUUGCUCUCGGGUGACGAGUGGCGGAUUCGGGUGAGUAAUGGGGAAACUGCGAUUUGGAGGGGGAUAACUACUGGAAACGGUAGCUAAUACCGCAUAACGUCGCAAGACCAAAGAGAAGGGGACCUUCGGGCCUCUUGCCAUCGGAUGUGCCCAGAUGGGAUUAGCUUGUAGGUGAGGUAACGGCUCACCUAGGCGACGAUCCCUAGCUGGGGUCUGAGAGGAUGACCAGCCACACUGGAACUGAUUGACACGGUCCAGACUCNGGGAGGCAGCAGUGGGGAAUAUUGGGCACAAUGGGCGCAAGCCUGAUGCAGCCAUGCCGCGUGGGGUAUGAAGAAGGCCUUCGGGGGGUUAGUACUUUCAGCGGGGAGGAAGGGAGUGAGGUUAAUAACCUUAUUCAUCGUUACCCGCAGAAGAAGCACCGGCUAACUCCGUGCCAGCAGCCGCGGUAAUACGGAGGGGGUGAAGCGUUAAUCGGAAUUGGGCGUAAAGCGCACGCAGGCGGUCUGUGUCGGAUGGAGGGAAUCCCCGGGCUCAACCUGGGAACUGCAUUCGAGGAACUGGCAGGCUGGAGUCUUGUAGAGGGGGGUAGAAUUCCAGGUGUAGCGGUGAAAUGCGUAGAGAUCUGGAGGACCGGUGGCGAAGGCGGCCCCCUGGACAAAGACUGACGGGCUCAGGUGCGAAAGCGUGGGGAGCAAACAGGAUUAGAUACCCUGGUAGUCCACGCUGUAAACGAUGUCGACUUGGAGGUUGUUCCGGUUGAGGAGUGGCUUCCGGAGCUAACGCGUUAAGUCGACCGCCUGGGGAGUACGCAAGGUUAAAACUCAAAUGAAUUGACGGGGGCCCGCACAAGCGGUGGAGCAUGUGGUUUAAUUCGAUGCAACGCGAAGAACCUUUACUCUUGACAUCCAGAGAAUUUAGCAGAGAUGCUUUGGUGCCUUCGGGAACUCUGAGACAGGUGCUGCAU